This 70-nucleotide transfer RNA is filed under the name Marmota monax (woodchuck). RNAcentral's name for it is "tRNA.Ala". The stretch from base 7 to 67 matches the Rfam family "tRNA", at positions 6 to 65 of the family's 71-position model. From Rfam's summary of the family: Transfer RNA (tRNA) molecules are approximately 80 nucleotides in length. Their secondary structure includes four short double-helical elements and three loops (D, anti-codon, and T loops). The record is from RNAcentral. Lineage: Eukaryota; Metazoa; Chordata; Mammalia; Rodentia; Sciuridae.
GGAUUAUGUGGCUCAGUGGUAGAGCGCUUGCCUUGCAUGUAUAAGGCACUGGGUUUAAUUCUCAGCACCG